GUCGAACGAUGAACCACCUUCGGGUGGGGAUUAGUGGCGAACGGGUGAGUAACACGUGGGCAAUCUGCCCUGCACUCUGGGACAAGCCCUGGAAACGGGGUCUAAUACCGGAUACUGACCCUCGCAGGCAUCUGCGAGGUUCGAAAGCUCCGGCGGUGCAGGAUGAGCCCGCGGCCUAUCAGCUAGUUGGUGAGGUAAUGGCUCACCAAGGCGACGACGGGUAGCCGGCCUGAGAGGGCGACCGGCCACACUGGGACUGAGACACGGCCCAGACUCCUAC
This 280-nucleotide ribosomal RNA is filed under the name Streptomyces mutabilis. Its description in RNAcentral is "partial 16S ribosomal RNA". It matches the Rfam family "Bacterial small subunit ribosomal RNA", at positions 61 to 342 of the family's 1533-position model. The record is from RNAcentral. Lineage: Bacteria; Bacillati; Actinomycetota; Actinomycetes; Kitasatosporales; Streptomycetaceae.